CUCUCCCUGUCUAACACCAGUACCUUCCGAGGCAGUGUAGCGCUCUGGCUUUGUAAGGGGAUAGAGUACCAGGCUCUCUUCCCUCCCCACUGGACAGUGUUCCACCUGGGGCCUAAAGAGAAGCCAACAGU
This is a small nucleolar RNA of Megalops cyprinoides (Indo-Pacific tarpon), 131 nucleotides long. RefSeq annotates it as small nucleolar RNA SNORA49. Lineage: Eukaryota; Metazoa; Chordata; Actinopteri; Elopiformes; Megalopidae. The transcript has a single exon. The record is from RefSeq and is a predicted model, not a curated record.